This 415-nucleotide ribosomal RNA is filed under the name uncultured prokaryote. RNAcentral's name for it is "bacterial SSU rRNA". It matches the Rfam family "Bacterial small subunit ribosomal RNA", at positions 505 to 918 of the family's 1533-position model. The record is from RNAcentral.
GUGUCAGCCGCCGCGGUAAUACGUAGGAGGCGAACGUUAUUCGGAUUUACUGGGCGUAAAGCGGGUGUAGGCGGUUCUUUAAGUCAGGUGUGAAAUUUUCUGACUUAAUCAGAAAGGGUCAUCUGAUACUAGAGAACUUGAGGGCGGCAGAAGGAAAUGGAAUUCUCGGUGUAGCGGUGAAAUGCGUAGAUAUCGAGAAGAACACCAGUGGCGAAGGCGAUUUCCUAGGCUGUUCCUGACGCUGAGACCCGAAAGCGUGGGGAGCGAUGCGGAUUAGAUACCCGCGUAGUCCACGCCCUAAACGGUGGACACUAGAUAUGGAAGGUAUCGACCCCUCUCGUGUCGAAGCUAACGCUUUAAGUGUCCCGCCUGGGGAGUACGGCCGCAAGGCUAAAACUUAAAUGAAUUGACGGGG